UCUCUGAUGGCUCAGAGGAUACAGCAUCUGCCUGCAAUGCAGGAGACCUGGGUUCAAUCCCUGGGUUAGGAA
Molecule: non-coding RNA, 72 nt
Organism: Bos taurus (domestic cattle)
Lineage: Eukaryota; Metazoa; Chordata; Mammalia; Artiodactyla; Bovidae
Source: Rfam